Long non-coding RNA from Oncorhynchus tshawytscha (Chinook salmon), 1334 nucleotides. The record is from Ensembl. Lineage: Eukaryota; Metazoa; Chordata; Actinopteri; Salmoniformes; Salmonidae.
CGCAGGGAAUAGAUCACGAGCAUAGAGGAGAAACAUACAUGUUUUGAACUAAUAAUUGAUCAUUAAAUGUUAUGAUGGACACCGCUUUGAGGUGGACUCCCUGGGUGCUGGUGUAAUCUGGAAGCUACGUGCCUGUUUCAUAGCUUGUUGAACUUUGGAAGUUAAGUGUUUUUUUUUCCAGUGUUGGAUUGAUGUUGUUGCAGUUAUGUCAGAGGCCAUCCUCACCUUCCAGUACCAGCUCAAUGGAGUCAUGGAAACAGUCCUCAAAACCGCUGUGCAUGAGAUCACUCGGCUGGUGAAGUACAGCUUCCUAGAAGAAGUGACCGGGAGCAAGCGGGAAGUUGACGUCUUGAAGGAGAGGCUGCAGCAGCGUGAACACAGAUGAAGGGAUGGAGAGGAGAAGAGGAGGGAAGAUAAAGAGCAGAAAAAGAAGAGGGAAGAGUGCGAGCCGAGGGGGAUGUGUUGGAGAUGUGGUUGUGCUGGAGACACUGAGGAGAGAGAAGAGGCUCUGUUAGGUGAAUGAGGAGAGAUAUGUGUGUGUAUAUCACACAAACGAUAUAGGAUCUAUAACUUUCUACUGUUUUGUCCUCCGCAGCAGAGGAAGGUUGUGUUAUCAAACAGGAGAUCUUCCAGUCAGGUGGACCCAGCACUCUCCCAGAGAGGGUCCACAGGAAAUGGCCACACCCAUCUCUUCCUGUGUCUCUGAAAGGAUGGAAGAGAGGGAGGCACAUGUCGUCCGCAUCAAAGAGGAGCCUGAUGACUGGGGGGGAUCUGAUUACCCAGAUGAUCACAUCCACAUAUUCCCCCAUAAUGAGCCAGAGUCGUCUGGAGAGAUUGAAGUCACAACAUGGGGCCAGUGAGCUUCUUCCUACAGUACCAGCACCAUGGACCAGGAAAGAGCAGCACCUACUCCCAAGGUCAGUGUGGGAAGAGCUUCCCUCAGCUCCGAAACCUGAAAGACCACCAGAAGUACCACCACACAGGGAAGAAGGCCUUCACCUGCUCCCAGUGUGGUAUGGGUUUUGUGUACGUGUGCCACCUCAGGGUACACAUGCAGCGCCACACGAGGGAGAGGGCCUUCACCUGCUCUCAGUGUGGGAAGGGUUUUGUGUACAUGUGCCACCUCAGGGUACACAUGCAGUGCCACACGGGGGAGAGGCCGUUCAGCUGCUCUCAGUGUGGAAAAAGCUUCAGCCUUCAGAGCGGCUUGAAGAGACGCAGGGUCCUUUACACUGCAGAGAUGCCUUACCACUGGUAACAGAUUCAAUUCUAGAGCGGACCUGAAAAGACAUGAACAGAUAGAUUCAUGCAGCAAGGUACACCUUUGAGAUGAG